UGCAAGUCGAGCGGUAGAGAGGUGCUUGCACCUCUUGAGAGCGGCGGACGGGUGAGUAAUACCUAGGAAUCUGCCUGGUAGUGGGGGAUAACGUUCGGAAACGGACGCUAAUACCGCAUACGUCCUACGGGAGAAAGCAGGGGACCUUCGGGCCUUGCGCUAUCAGAUGAGCCUAGGUCGGAUUAGCUAGUUGGUGAGGUAAUGGCUCACCAAGGCUACGAUCCGUAACUGGUCUGAGAGGAUGAUCAGUCACACUGGAACUGAGACACGGUCCAGACUCCUACGGGAGGCAGCAGUGGGGAAUAUUGGACAAUGGGCGAAAGCCUGAUCCAGCCAUGCCGCGUGUGUGAAGAAGGUCUUCGGAUUGUAAAGCACUUUAAGUUGGGAGGAAGGGCAUUAACCUAAUACGUUAGUGUUUUGACGUUACCGACAGAAUAAGCACCGGCUAACUCUGUGCCAGCAGCCGCGGUAAUACAGAGGGUGCAAGCGUUAAUCGGAAUUACUGGGCGUAAAGCGCGCGUAGGUGGUUUGUUAAGUUGAAUGUGAAAUCCCCGGGCUCAACCUGGGAACUGCAUCCAAAACUGGCAAGCUAGAGUAUGGUAGAGGGUAGUGGAAUUUCCUGUGUAGCGGUGAAAUGCGUAGAUAUAGGAAGGAACACCAGUGGCGAAGGCGACUACCUGGACUGAUACUGACACUGAGGUGCGAAAGCGUGGGGAGCAAACAGGAUUAGAUACCCUGGUAGUCCACGCCGUAAACGAUGUCAACUAGCCGUUGGGGAGUCUUGAACUCUUAGUGGCGCAGCUAACGCAUUAAGUUGACCGCCU
RNAcentral lists this ribosomal RNA (824 nucleotides) under Pseudomonas fragi. RNAcentral describes it as "bacterial SSU rRNA". It matches the Rfam family "Bacterial small subunit ribosomal RNA", at positions 56 to 874 of the family's 1533-position model. Lineage: Bacteria; Pseudomonadati; Pseudomonadota; Gammaproteobacteria; Pseudomonadales; Pseudomonadaceae. The record is from RNAcentral.